UACGAAGGGGGCUAGCGUUGCUCGGAAUCACUGGGCGUAAAGCGCACGUAGGCCGAUUGUUAAGUCAGGGGUGAAAUCCUGGAGCUCAACUCCAGAACUGCCCUUGAUACUGACGGUCUCGAGUCCGGGAGAGGUGAGUGGAACUGCGAGUGUAGAGGUGAAAUUCGUAGAUAUCAAGCGGAACACCGGUGGCGAAGGCGGCCUUCUGGACAGUGACUGACGCUGAGACGCGAAAGCGUGGGGAGCAAACAGG
Molecule: ribosomal RNA, 253 nt
Filed under: uncultured bacterium
Lineage: Bacteria
Description: partial 16S ribosomal RNA
Rfam family: Bacterial small subunit ribosomal RNA
Source: RNAcentral